CCUCUUGAUUAUAUUCCAGAGGUUUUCAAUUUGGUAAAAUUAAAGGAAGUAUGAAUGGGUUCCAGAGCUCUAGGUCUGCUUUGACUCUAGCUAGAACCAUUCAGUGGUGGCCAAUCAGGUCCAAGUCCAUCCUCCAUCUCCAGCCGUGCGUGAGAGACCUUAAUCCCGUUAGCUUAGCCUCCUCCUGGCUAAUCCCAGCACUUCUCCACCUGCACGUCCUCCAGCCCUGUCACCUACCUGAGGGAUGAGUGCGUGCUGCUGAUCGCUGAAGCAGCAGGAUGUUUAGCUGGGUGGUGAAAGUUGUUCCGCAGCCCCCUGAGAAGACUGGACUCGGAGAAGAGGAGAAAAACAAUGCUCAGGAAGUGAAAGCUCCUGUCAAUGAGGAAGCUGCAAAGCAAGAAAGUCCUGUGAAUGAAGUCUCUGAAGAAAACAGUAGUGGGGUGCUGACCUGGCUGUCUCAUGGCUUCACCAGCGCCCUCCCCCAGCCUGUAGGAGCUCAGAAGGCUAACUCUGAGGUCAAGGAGGAAAAUGCAGUAGGCAACAGUAAAAAUGGUGAAGAACCCGGGAUGAUCGGCUGGAUCGUGCAGGGAUUAGGAAAAGUGGUUCCACAGCCUGACGACAAGUACAAACAGCAGACCGAAUCACAGGAGGUCACAGAGGUUCCACAGCCAGUACCGGAGGUAAAGGUUGAGCCUGUUGUUCCACAGCCAGUACCGGAGGUAAAGGUUGAGCCUGUUGUGCACGAUGUUAAAGACCUGGCAGAUGCUGAGCCCCUCCCUCAGAUCCCUGUGGUGGAGGUGAUCUCUGAUGAAGAGCCUGAUGCAGAUGAUAAGGCCUUAACUCCAAGAGUGAUGGACUGGCUGAAGCAAGGUUUUGAGAAGGUUGUGCCCCAGCCUUCUCCAGUGCACACACCAGAACCUCAGAGGAAGGCAGCUCCAACUCCAGAACCUCCUCCACCACCAGUAUCUGCUCCUGCCCCCUCACCUGUGGAUCCACCCAAAGCAGAAGAUGGUACAAAAGGGGGCACAAACAUGGUGGGCUGGAUCGUACAGGGAUUCAGUCGCAUUGUGCCACAGCCUGUUGUAAAAGCCAAAGAGGAUGGAUCGGAUGCUGUUCAAAGCAUCUGCAUCCUGCAGGACCCCUCAGACAUGGUCCUGGAGGAGGUGGACCCGAACUGGGAGAGGCAGCAGGCGGAUGCUGAGCAGAAGCAGAGCUGCCUCCUGCUGGAGGCCAUGGAUCAGGAGGACGACAUCAAACAGGAGGCGGAGGAAGAUCUCACAGUCUCCAUGGAGGAAAGGCUGCAGCAGGAGCGGUUGGAAGCUGCUCGGAUGGCGGAGGAGUUAGCGCUGCAGGCGGCGGAGAUCGCAGUGAGACAGCUGGAGGAGGAACACACUGGACCCAUAAUAAUGGAGCCUGAACUAUCUGAACCCGACAAUGGAGAACUACUGUCCAAUAUCCAGGAGGAAGAGAAUGAAGAAGAUCCAGAGUUGCAGCCCCUGCGUGAGGAGACUGAGGAGGAGAGUGGGGAUAGUAAAACUGAUGAAGCAGACGUGAAGAGGUGUAUGCUGGACGUGUGCCCGGCCGAGGCUGAGUCUGAGGCUGAAGAGGAGAGAGCGGCAUCACCAGAACCACCAUCGACCCUCGAACCCACACCAACAGCCCAACCAGAGCCCUCGCCAGAGAAGAGGACCUCCUUAACCGUCGUUACCACCCAGCCUCAACCCGCCGCCACAGAGAACGCCCCUUCAGAUGCUGUCGAGGAAGAUGAGGCUCCUGCAGAAGAGGAAUGUGGAGAGAAUGCUUCAAAUUUACCCCAAAUCAUUGAACCCCCGGAAGACUCCACCCACAGGACGAUGCAGGACCCAAUGGACGACAUGGACGGCAUGCGCACGCCCGGACUCCUCGCUGUGGAUGAAGAGAAUCCGGAUCGUCCCGCCUCGGCUGCCAGUCAGACCAGUAUAGUGAAUGUGAGACUGCAGGAGCUGGUGAAGCUGUUUAAAGAGAGAACUGACCGAACCCGAGACAGACUGGUCGACCCUGACGAGUCUGAUGAAGAGAGCCCCUCCGCAUCUCCUGCUAAAAAAGCCGAUGCUCCCCCGCCUCCUCCACCUCCCCCCGAGGGGCAGAAGGAGGCAGCAGAGGCAGAGAAAGAGGUGGAGGAGGAGGAGGAGCAGUUUCUGGAGUUUAUGGGAUACCAGGUCAAAAUACCCCAAAUACCCAAAAUGCCCGACUGGCUGAGAGCGAUCCUGGAGUACCGCUUCCCCUCCAGCAUCGACCCCUACACCGAUUUUAUCUACGUGGUGUGGCUGUUCUUUGUGACGUGUGCGUGGAACUAUAACGUGUGGCUGAUCCCGGUGCGCAUGUUCUUCCCUUACCAAACCCCGGAGAACAUCUACCUGUGGCUGCUGGCCGACUAUACCUGUGACGCCAUCUACAUCAUGGAUAUCGUGAUCUUCCAGCCCAGACUACAGUUCGUCAGAGCGGGAGACGUUGUGUGCGACAAAAAAGACAUGAAAGAAAAUUACAUGCAAACAGAACGAUUCAAGAUGGAUAUAAUCAGCAUGAUGCCUCUGGAGGUCCUGUACUAUUUCACUGGAGUUAAAUCGAUUUUACGCUUCCCUCGCAUUCUAAAGUAUCAGGCUUUCUUUGAAUUUAAUGAUCGUCUGGAAUCCUUCAUGAAAAAGGCCUACAUUUACAGAGUGUUUCGCACGUCUGUGUAUCUGAUCUACUCUCUGCACAUUAAUGCCUGUCUGUUUUACUGGGGCUCGGAUUAUGAAGGCCUGGGCUCCACUAAGUGGGUUUAUAACGGCAAAGGCAACAGUUAUAUCCGCUGCUACUACUUUGCUGUGAAAACUCUGAUCACUAUCGGAGGUCUGCCGGAUCCCACCACCGUGUUUGAAAUCAUCUUCCAGUGUGUGAAUUACUUUGUGGGUGUCUUCGCUUUCUCCAUCAUGAUUGGUCAGAUGAGAGAUGUGGUAGGUGCAGCCACUGCAGGUCAGGCGUAUUACAGGGCGUGUGUGGACAGCACUGUAAACUAUAUGACCUCAUACCGAAUCCCCCGCGAGGUUCAGAACAGGGUCAAGACCUGGUACGACUAUACCUGGCAGUCCCAGGGCAUGCUGGAUGAGCGGGAUUUGCUGGACCAGCUUCCUGAUAAGAUGCGUCUGGAUAUUGCAGUGGAUGUGAAUUAUUCCAUCGUCAGCAAAGUCGCUCUGUUUCAGGGCUGUGACAGACAGAUGAUAUUUGAUAUGUUGACCAGGCUGAAGUCUGUGGUGUAUCUCCCAGGAGACUUCGUGUGUAAGAAGGGUGAGAUCGGCAGGGAGAUGUACAUCAUUAAAGCUGGAGAGGUGCAGGUGGUGGGCGGUCCUGAUGGGACCACUGUGUUUGUGACUCUGAGAGCCGGCUCUGUGUUCGGGGAAAUCAGCUUGCUGGCAGGCGGUGGUGGUAACAGGCGUACGGCUAAUGUUAAAGCUCACGGAUUCGCUAACCUCUUCAUCCUGGAUAAGAAGGACCUGGCGGAUAUCCUGGUGCACUAUCCUGAGUCCCAGAAGAUACUGCGGAAGAAGGCCAAGAAGAUGUUGACGAAGGAUAAGAAGCCUGAUGAGAAAGAGGGUAAAGAUACGGGCGAGGUCAUCCCGCCACGCCCAGAAACGCCCAAACUCUUCAAGGCCGCCCUGGAGGUGGCCAAAGGAGAAACCUUCGCCAAGCUGAAGGAAAGCUACAAAAGUUCUGGAGCCCUGCUGGAGCCCUCCGCCAGUCCCAUGCCCCCCUCCUCCCCCGUACACCGCCGCUCCCCGCUCCCCCGGCCGGCCCCGCCCGACGACACCGAAGACGCAGUAGCAGAAACCACGGACAGCACCGUGAUCAUCCGUAUGACCACACAGCAGCACGGAGGAGAGGAGAUCCUGACCGUGGAAAUGGGCCCCGGGGAGGAGCCGGGCACCGGCUAGACAGACAGAACGUAACCCGUAACCUGUAACUCGUAAUCAGCCAAUGAAUGAGCACUUUGAUUCUUAACACAAUGAGACUACAUGUUUAAAAAUUAAGGUACCUAGAAUGGUUCUUAUAGCAAUUACAAAUAUACAACCUUCCACAACAAUAGCACUUUAUGUAUUAUUUUUAGCUGAUGGUUCCUUAAGGUACCUUUUAAAGAAUGUUUCUUUCAGGAAUUAUAGGAGCCCCUAAGGCAGGGGUGUCCAAACUACGAGGUAUUUUAGAAAUAGAAUGAAAGUUGGCCCGCUGUUAAGCAGGUUUUUAUAAUGUGAGAUUCAAAGUUUGAACGCUAGGUGUCAGAAACGGGCCAAAGAGUCUAAAAGCAGAGAGAGUGCGCAUUUCUAGCGCAGAAAAACGGGCCAAAGAGUCUAAAAGCGGAGAGAGUGCGCAUUUCUAGCGCAGAAAAACGGGCCAAAGAGACUAAAAGUUGCCGUUAUUAAGGAGUUUAAUAUUAAGAGACAUCAUGAAAUGAAACAUCAAUUUGAAAAAUCUUAGUUUACACAACACUGUCAAAGAUAAAGAUAGUAAGUCAAGUAAAAUGGUGUGGAAAUUAAAUAAUCAGGAAAAUGUAUUAUUU
This is an RNA transcript of Astyanax mexicanus (Mexican tetra), 4570 nucleotides long. It is a transcript of the gene named cyclic nucleotide gated channel subunit beta 1a, with no coding region annotated. NCBI's taxonomy places the organism in Eukaryota, Metazoa, Chordata, Actinopteri, Characiformes, Acestrorhamphidae. The record is from RefSeq and is a predicted model, not a curated record. The transcript has 41 exons.